This 450-nucleotide ribosomal RNA is filed under the name uncultured bacterium. Its description in RNAcentral is "bacterial SSU rRNA". It matches the Rfam family "Bacterial small subunit ribosomal RNA", at positions 355 to 825 of the family's 1533-position model. The record is from RNAcentral.
UCAAGAAACUUCCACAAUGGGCGAAAGCCUGAUGGAGCGACGUCGCGUGAUGGACGAAGUGCUUCGGCACGUAAACAUCUUUUAUGUGGGAUGAAAUUAUUGACAGUACCACAUGAAUAAGGGGCUCCUAACUCUGUGCCAGCAGGAGCGGUAAUACAGAGGCCCCAAGCGUUAUCCGGAAUCACUGGGCGUAAAGGGUGUCGAGGCGGUUGUAUUAGUCGUUCGUAAAAUCUACGAGCUUAACUUGUAGGCGGCGAACGAAACGGUACGACUUGAGGUUUGGAGAGGUGCGUGGAACUCACGGUGUAGGGGUGAAAUGCGUAGAUAUCGGGAGGAACACCUGUGGCGAAGGCGGCCACCUGGUUGGAUACUGACGCUGAGACGCGAAAGCGUGGGGAGCAAACAGGAUUAGAUACCCCAGUAGUCCCUGAGCGGGCUGGCAAGGCGCAU